AGUCGAACGGGUGUGCCCGGUGGAUGCCGGGAACUACACACUAGUGGCAAACGGGUGAGUAACACGUAGAUAAUCUGCCUCAAUGUUCGGAAUAAGCUCGCGAAAGCGGGUCUAAUACCGGAUGUGGUCAGUUGGCGCAAGCUAAUUGAUUAAAGCCUUCGGGCGCUUUGAGAGGAGUCUGCGGCCUAUCAGCUUGUUGGCGGGGUAAAGGCCCACCAAGGCUAUGACGGGUAGCCGGUCCGAGAGGAUGUUCGGCCACAAGGGAACUGAGACACGGUCCCUACUCCUACGGGAGGCAGCAGCUGGGAAUCGUUCGCAAUGGACGAAAGUCUGACGACGCGACGCCGCGUGCGGGAUGAAGCCCUUCGGGGUGUAAACCGCUUUUCUAGGGGAAAAAGAUCUGAUUGUACCCUAGGAAUAAGGGGUUACUAACUCCGUGCCAGCAGUAGCGGUAAUACAGAGACCUCGAGCGUUUUCCGGAAUCAUUGGGCGUAGAGCGUCCGCAAGUGGCUAUAUAAGUCGGGCUUGAAAUUCGGUGGCUCAACCACCGACAUGGGUUCGAUACUGUGUAGCUAGAGGAUUGGAGAGGCUGAUGGAACUCCCGGUGUAGCAGUGAAAUGCGUUAAUAUCGGGAAGAACACCAAUUGCGAAGGCAGUCAGCUAUUCAAUUCCUGACACGCAGGGACGAAAGCGUGGGGAGCGAACGGGAUUAGAUACCCCGGUAGUCCACGCUGUAAACGAUGGGUACUAGACAUUGGGACUUUCGACAGUCUCAGUGCCGCAAGCUAACGCGUUAAGUACCUCGCCUGGGAAGUACGGCCGCAAGGCUAAAACUCAAAGGAAUUGACGGGAGCCCGCACAAGCGGUGGAGCAUGUGGUUUAAUUCGAUACUGAGCGAAGAACCUUACCAAGGCUUGACAUGGUAGGAGACCCUGCGAAAUACGGGGGUGCUAGCUUGCUAGAACCUACACACAGGUGCUGCACGGCUGUCGUCAGCUCGUGUCGUGAGAUGUUGGGUUAAGUCCCGCAACGAGCGCAACCCUCGUCGUUAGUUGCUAACAGUUCGGCUGAGCACUCUAACGAGACUGCCUUCGUAAGGAGGAGGAAGGUGAGGACGACGUCAAGUCAUCAUGGCCCUUACGGCCAGGGCUACACACGUGCUACAAUGGGGCGUACAGAGAGUUGCAAUACCGCGAGGUGGAGCCAAUCUCUUAAAGCGUCUCUCAGUUCGGAUUGUUCUCUGCAACUCGAGAACAUGAAGCUGGAAUCACUAGUAAAUGUAGAUCAGAUAUUUCUACCGGGAAUACGUUCCCCCGGGCUUGUCUCACCGCCCGUCACACCAUGGGAGUUGAUUUCACCCGAAAUCGGGAUGCCAAACUGGCUACCGCUUACGGUGGAAUUAGCGACUGGGGUGAAGUCGUAACAAGGUAACC
Molecule: ribosomal RNA, 1433 nt
Filed under: uncultured bacterium
Lineage: Bacteria
Description: 16S ribosomal RNA
Rfam family: Bacterial small subunit ribosomal RNA
Source: RNAcentral